Molecule: ribosomal RNA, 460 nt
Filed under: uncultured bacterium
Lineage: Bacteria
Description: partial 16S ribosomal RNA
Rfam family: Bacterial small subunit ribosomal RNA
Source: RNAcentral
CCUACGGGAGGCAGCAGUGAGGAAUAUUGGUCAAUGGACGAGAGUCUGAACCAGCCAAGUAGCGUGAAGGAUGACUGCCCUAUGGGUUGUAAACUUCUUUUAUAUGGGAAUAAAACGUUCCACGUGUGGGAUUUUGUAUGUACCAUAUGAAUAAGGAUCGGCUAACUCCGUGCCAGCAGCCGCGGUAAUACGGAGGAUCCGAGCGUUAUCCGGAUUUAUUGGGUUUAAAGGGAGCGUAGGUGGAUUGUUAAGUCAGUUGUGAAAGUUUGCGGCUCAACCGUAAAAUUGCAGUUGAAACUGGCAGUCUUGAGUACAGUAGAGGUGGGCGGAAUUCGUGGUGUAGCGGUGAAAUGCUUAGAUAUCACGAAGAACUCCGAUUGCGAAGGCAGCUCUCUGGCCUGUAACUGACACUGAGGCUCGAAAGCGUGGGGAGCAAACAGGAUUAGAUACCCGUGUAGUC